RNAcentral lists this ribosomal RNA (2930 nucleotides) under Escherichia coli. RNAcentral describes it as "bacterial LSU rRNA". It matches the Rfam family "Bacterial large subunit ribosomal RNA". The record is from RNAcentral. Lineage: Bacteria; Pseudomonadati; Pseudomonadota; Gammaproteobacteria; Enterobacterales; Enterobacteriaceae.
GGGUUGUGAGGUUAAGCGACUAAGCGUACACGGUGGAUGCCCUGGCAGUCAGAGGCGAUGAAGGACGUGCUAAUCUGCGAUAAGCGUCGGUAAGGUGAUAUGAACCGUUAUAACCGGCGAUUUCCGAAUGGGGAAACCCAGUGUGAUUCGUCACACUAUCAUUAACUGAAUCCAUAGGUUAAUGAGGCGAACCGGGGGAACUGAAACAUCUAAGUACCCCGAGGAAAAGAAAUCAACCGAGAUUCCCCCAGUAGCGGCGAGCGAACGGGGAGCAGCCCAGAGCCUGAAUCAGUGUGUGUGUUAGUGGAAGCGUCUGGAAAGGCGCGCGAUACAGGGUGACAGCCCCGUACACAAAAAUGCACAUGCUGUGAGCUCGAUGAGUAGGGCGGGACACGUGGUAUCCUGUCUGAAUAUGGGGGGACCAUCCUCCAAGGCUAAAUACUCCUGACUGACCGAUAGUGAACCAGUACCGUGAGGGAAAGGCGAAAAGAACCCCGGCGAGGGGAGUGAAAAAGAACCUGAAACCGUGUACGUACAAGCAGUGGGAGCACGCUUAGGCGUGUGACUGCGUACCUUUUGUAUAAUGGGUCAGCGACUUAUAUUCUGUAGCAAGGUUAACCGAAUAGGGGAGCCGAAGGGAAACCGAGUCUUAACUGGGCGUUAAGUUGCAGGGUAUAGACCCGAAACCCGGUGAUCUAGCCAUGGGCAGGUUGAAGGUUGGGUAACACUAACUGGAGGACCGAACCGACUAAUGUUGAAAAAUUAGCGGAUGACUUGUGGCUGGGGGUGAAAGGCCAAUCAAACCGGGAGAUAGCUGGUUCUCCCCGAAAGCUAUUUAGGUAGCGCCUCGUGAAUUCAUCUCCGGGGGUAGAGCACUGUUUCGGCAAGGGGGUCAUCCCGACUUACCAACCCGAUGCAAACUGCGAAUACCGGAGAAUGUUAUCACGGGAGACACACGGCGGGUGCUAACGUCCGUCGUGAAGAGGGAAACAACCCAGACCGCCAGCUAAGGUCCCAAAGUCAUGGUUAAGUGGGAAACGAUGUGGGAAGGCCCAGACAGCCAGGAUGUUGGCUUAGAAGCAGCCAUCAUUUAAAGAAAGCGUAAUAGCUCACUGGUCGAGUCGGCCUGCGCGGAAGAUGUAACGGGGCUAAACCAUGCACCGAAGCUGCGGCAGCGACACUAUGUGUUGUUGGGUAGGGGAGCGUUCUGUAAGCCUGUGAAGGUGUACUGUGAGGUAUGCUGGAGGUAUCAGAAGUGCGAAUGCUGACAUAAGUAACGAUAAAGCGGGUGAAAAGCCCGCUCGCCGGAAGACCAAGGGUUCCUGUCCAACGUUAAUCGGGGCAGGGUGAGUCGACCCCUAAGGCGAGGCCGAAAGGCGUAGUCGAUGGGAAACAGGUUAAUAUUCCUGUACUUGGUGUUACUGCGAAGGGGGGACGGAGAAGGCUAUGUUGGCCGGGCGACGGUUGUCCCGGUUUAAGCGUGUAGGCUGGUUUUCCAGGCAAAUCCGGAAAAUCAAGGCUGAGGCGUGAUGACGAGGCACUACGGUGCUGAAGCAACAAAUGCCCUGCUUCCAGGAAAAGCCUCUAAGCAUCAGGUAACAUCAAAUCGUACCCCAAACCGACACAGGUGGUCAGGUAGAGAAUACCAAGGCGCUUGAGAGAACUCGGGUGAAGGAACUAGGCAAAAUGGUGCCGUAACUUCGGGAGAAGGCACGCUGAUAUGUAGGUGAAGCGACUUGCUCGUGGAGCUGAAAUCAGUCGAAGAUACCAGCUGGCUGCAACUGUUUAUUAAAAACACAGCACUGUGCAAACACGAAAGUGGACGUAUACGGUGUGACGCCUGCCCGGUGCCGGAAGGUUAAUUGAUGGGGUCAGCGCAAGCGAAGCUCUUGAUCGAAGCCCCGGUAAACGGCGGCCGUAACUAUAACGGUCCUAAGGUAGCGAAAUUCCUUGUCGGGUAAGUUCCGACCUGCACGAAUGGCGUAAUGAUGGCCAGGCUGUCUCCACCCGAGACUCAGUGAAAUUGAACUCGCUGUGAAGAUGCAGUGUACCCGCGGCAAGACGGAAAGACCCCGUGAACCUUUACUAUAGCUUGACACUGAACAUUGAGCCUUGAUGUGUAGGAUAGGUGGGAGGCUUUGAAGUGUGGACGCCAGUCUGCAUGGAGCCGACCUUGAAAUACCACCCUUUAAUGUUUGAUGUUCUAACGUUGACCCGUAAUCCGGGUUGCGGACAGUGUCUGGUGGGUAGUUUGACUGGGGCGGUCUCCUCCUAAAGAGUAACGGAGGAGCACGAAGGUUGGCUAAUCCUGGUCGGACAUCAGGAGGUUAGUGCAAUGGCAUAAGCCAGCUUGACUGCGAGCGUGACGGCGCGAGCAGGUGCGAAAGCAGGUCAUAGUGAUCCGGUGGUUCUGAAUGGAAGGGCCAUCGCUCAACGGAUAAAAGGUACUCCGGGGAUAACAGGCUGAUACCGCCCAAGAGUUCAUAUCGACGGCGGUGUUUGGCACCUCGAUGUCGGCUCAUCACAUCCUGGGGCUGAAGUAGGUCCCAAGGGUAUGGCUGUUCGCCAUUUAAAGUGGUACGCGAGCUGGGUUUAGAACGUCGUGAGACAGUUCGGUCCCUAUCUGCCGUGGGCGCUGGAGAACUGAGGGGGGCUGCUCCUAGUACGAGAGGACCGGAGUGGACGCAUCACUGGUGUUCGGGUUGUCAUGCCAAUGGCACUGCCCGGUAGCUAAAUGCGGAAGAGAUAAGUGCUGAAAGCAUCUAAGCACGAAACUUGCCCCGAGAUGAGUUCUCCCUGACCCUUUAAGGGUCCUGAAGGAACGUUGAAGACGACGACGUUGAUAGGCCGGGUGUGUAAGCGCAGCGAUGCGUUGAGCUAACCGGUACUAAUGAACCGUGAGGCUUAACCUUACAACGCCGAAGGUGUUU